GGAGGCAUAGCUCAGCUGGCUAGAGUACCUGCUCGACAUGCAGGGGGUCACUGGUUCGAACCCAGUUGUCUCCACCA
This 77-nucleotide transfer RNA is filed under the name Clostridia bacterium. RNAcentral's name for it is "tRNA-Val". It matches the Rfam family "tRNA". From Rfam's summary of the family: Transfer RNA (tRNA) molecules are approximately 80 nucleotides in length. Their secondary structure includes four short double-helical elements and three loops (D, anti-codon, and T loops). Further hydrogen bonds mediate the characteristic L-shaped molecular structure. tRNAs have two regions of fundamental functional importance: the anti-codon, which is responsible for specific mRNA codon recognition, and the 3' end, to which the tRNAs corresponding amino acid is attached (by aminoacyl-tRNA synthetases). tRNAs cope with the degeneracy of the genetic code in two manners: having more than one tRNA (with a specific anti-codon) for a particular amino acid; and 'wobble' base-pairing, i.e. permitting non-standard base-pairing at the 3rd anti-codon position. The record is from RNAcentral. Lineage: Bacteria; Bacillati; Bacillota; Clostridia.